This is a long non-coding RNA of Diceros bicornis minor, 3026 nucleotides long. RefSeq lists it as uncharacterized. The record is from RefSeq and is a predicted model, not a curated record. Lineage: Eukaryota; Metazoa; Chordata; Mammalia; Perissodactyla; Rhinocerotidae. The transcript has 3 exons.
CCUGAAGAGGGGGAGGGCCCUCAAAGCAUUUAGAUGCCUGGGAUCCCAUUUCUCACAGAUUGUUUUUCCAGAGCAAAAGAAAAAUUUCUAAACAGCCUGAUUCUGAGGGAAUCAUGCCAAAUGCUAGCACACUUCUAAUAGUCCUGAUUACACCAAACGAGUACUCACAGAAAGGAUAAAGCCUUUAAACAGAAAGGAUGAAGCUUUUAUGAAACAGAUCUUGAAUAAAGCUGGAGAGCUCAAAAUGUUUUGCAAAGAGAGCAGAAUUUGAAUUCAGGAGAAAACUUAUCCUUAUACUCUAGGGUCGGCAAGAAGGCAGUGAGCUCAAUGGGCUCUGGGUACCAGCACCUGUUUGCCCACCAGCCUUGGAGUUGUUGGGGGUCUUCUCUGGAUUUCAUUUCUGACACCAAGUAAUGUUGACCUAAACAAACAAAACAACCAGUUAUUUUACCAGCAAAAUAGGUUUAUUUGGGAAUAGCAAAGGAAUUGCAAUUUGGGACAAGCCAGCUAUAGCAAAAGCCAUAGGCAAGUCAGCAAAUAAUGGAGAAAAAGGAGGAAGUUGAGAGGGGUGUUUUGAAUGAAAAUCCAUGGGUGGAAAGCCAGAGUUUAGGGUGGUGACAGUUUCUCAUUGGCUGAGUUGCUGGGCAAGGAGGAAAUCUUCCUCCUGCUGGGGUAAUAAUUGAUGUGGAACAGUAGUGUGUGAGAGCUCCCCUGCUGGCCUCCCGACCUCAUUUUAAAUGAAGUUUUCUUUCUUCUGCUUCACGUUACUGAAGUAAAAGAACUGUGCCAGAGUUUUAGUUAGCUUAACUAGUUUAAUGAAAUAAAAUGUUUAUGUUCCAGAGUAUGAGGCAUCUUGAAAUUACAUGAAUAUAAAGCACUACAACCAAGCUUUAUUCAAGAAAAACUGUAGGAGAAUGGACUUUUUUUACAUAUGGAAUUACAGCUUUCUGUCUGUACUUAUUCUUGCUGGUACUACUUUGUUGAAAAUCAUUUCUGGUUUUUGAUGAAUAAUUUUUGAUUUAAGGAUCAUUAUUAUAGUGAAACUGUUUGGCUGCAGUAUCUCUUGAAAAGUUUUUCUUGCACGGGAUUUAAAUGUUAAAAUAUGAUGAAAUGUCUAAAUAAGAUCACAGUGGAUUGUAUCAUAUCAAUAUCCUGGUCAUGAUAUUAUACUGUAGUUUUUGCAAAGUGUUACUAUGGGAGGAAAUGACAAAAUAUAUAGGGAUCUUUCUGUAGUAUUUCUUAUAACUGUAUGUGAAUCUAUAAUUUCCUUAAAUAAAAAGUAAAUAAAUAAAUAAAAAGCAAAAAACAAAAAAAUGUGAUGACAGACUUCCAGUUUUGGCCAAGAUGGAGUAAUGGAGACCAGAUUUAUUAUCCCACCUGAAACAGCCAUAAAAAAACAAAUGAAACAUUUGAAACAAUGGUUUUCAAGACACUGGAUGUCAGGCAAUCCUGAGAAUUGAGAAACAAAUUAGGUUCCUGUUGCAUGUAAAUCCUGUCCCUGUGGUUAUGUAUUUAUUAAUAGGAAACUUCUAAAAAUAAAACACUCAGAGAAAUCAUCACCUUUUACAGAAGUGAACAAUACCAUAUCUUUGAAAGAUUUGCGAAUACUGUUUUUAUAUGAAUUUAAACUAGGACAUAGUGCAGCCAUGGCAAGUAGAAACAUCAGUUCUGUCUUUGGAGAAGGCUCUGUUAGUGAAAGGACUAUCCGUUGGUGGUUUAAAAAAUUUCGUUCUGGUGAUCUGAGUCUGAAAAAUGAGCCUCGAGGGAGACCCAAAUCGGUUUUAAAUCAAGAUCAGUUGAGAGCUAUGGUGGAAGCUAACCCCAAAACAGCAAUUCGAGGCCUUGCAGCACACUUAGGAGUUUCUGCUACAACAAUUUCCCGUCAUCUGGCUGCAAUAGGAAAAGUGAAAAAAUUGGACAAGUGGGUAGGCACCACACCAGUUGAGGGAUGAUCAUAAACUGAGAUGGUUAGAGAUAUAUGCUCAUCCCUUAAGAUUUGAAAGAGCAGACAUCUGUUUUGGAGAGGAUCAUAAGCUUUGACAAAAAAUGAAAUUGAAAGCGAUUUGGACAAUGGUUGGAUGUUGAUGAAGUUAUCAAACAUGUUAAAACCAUCAUUGCAACCAAAAAAGGUUCUGGUAGCUAUAUGGUGGUCUGCAAAAAGGAUAUUUCAUUACUGCUUUUUAACCCCGAUAAAACAAACAGUAGCAUCAUAUUUUGAAGAAGUUGAAAUUAUGUAUCAAAAAUUGAUCUAAAAGUUCUCUGCAUUGGUUAACCGACAUGGACCUAUACUUUUUAUGACAGCAUUUGAUCACAGAUAUCACAGACCACUACAGGGAAGUUAACUGAAUUGGGCUAAAAAAUUUUACCACAUCCAUCAUACUCACCUGACCUUUUUUCAGAUUACCACCUUUUUCAUCAUUUGGAACUCGUUCUAAGAAACAGAAUAUUCUCCAGUUGAGAAGCUGUAAUUGGAGGAUUUGAAUAAAUUUUAACAAUGCUGAAUUUUAUCAAUAUGGUAUAUGUCAUUUAAUAUUUGGGGAAAUUUAUCAUAUUGGGGAAAGCAGUUAAUGCUAAAAGUGCAUAUUUUGGUUGAAUAAAGCUUUUCUUUUUCUCAAAAAUAUAACAUUUUCAUUUUGACCUACAAAAAGGCAAUUUCAUAUGGUUCAGCCUAAUACUUCCCCAGACCCUGGCAGAACAUGAAGACUGAAAGGUACCUAAAGUACUGGAAAACUACAAGCUGCUCCUGAGUUUUGGGCUUCUUCAUUGGAGGAAUGUGGAGCAACCCAAAGUGUAUGUGUGUUUGAAAGAUGCUUAGGAGUCAGCCAUGCAAAGAUCUGGGUAAAGAGGAUUCUAGGGGGAUGAGCAGCCUCAUCAAAGGCUCUCAGGCUCUCAGAACAUAUUUUGUUUUCUUUUUUUUUUUCUGAGGAAGAUUUGCCCUGAGCUAAUAUCUGUUGCCAAUCUUCCUUUUUUGGCUUGAGGAGGCUUCGCCCUGAGCUAACAUCUGUGCCAGUCUUCCUCUAUUUUGU